CGCUGAGUUUGAUCCUGGCUCAGGAUGAACGCUAGCGGCAGGCUUAACACAUGCAAGUCGAGGGGUAUAGUUCUUCGGAACUAGAGACCGGCGCACGGGUGCGUAACGCGUAUGCAAUCUACCUUUCACAGAGGGAUAGCCCAGAGAAAUUUGGAUUAAUACCUCAUAGUAUAAUGAGUUGGCAUCAACACAUUAUUAAAGUCACAACGGUGAAAGAUGAGCAUGCGUCCCAUUAGCUAGAUGGUAAGGUAACGGCUUACCAAGACAACGAUGGGUAGGGGUCCUGAGAGGGAGAUCCCCCGACACUGGUACUGAGACACGGACCAGACUCCUACGGGA
This 339-nucleotide ribosomal RNA is filed under the name uncultured Flavobacterium sp. Its description in RNAcentral is "bacterial SSU rRNA". It matches the Rfam family "Bacterial small subunit ribosomal RNA", at positions 1 to 346 of the family's 1533-position model. Lineage: Bacteria; Pseudomonadati; Bacteroidota; Flavobacteriia; Flavobacteriales; Flavobacteriaceae. The record is from RNAcentral.